AUGUACCACCCGUACACACCGGCCUGCGCGCCGUCCGCACACCCGACGACAGCCCACUCAGUUUUUGGUAGCC
RNAcentral lists this small RNA (73 nucleotides) under Xanthomonas vesicatoria. RNAcentral's name for it is "sX9". It matches the Rfam family "Xanthomonas sRNA sX9". The record is from RNAcentral. RNAcentral also lists the same sequence under 1 other name. Lineage: Bacteria; Pseudomonadati; Pseudomonadota; Gammaproteobacteria; Lysobacterales; Lysobacteraceae.